ACGCUCGACACCUACGGGGGCAGCAGUGGGGAAUAUUGCACAAUGGGGGAAACCCGUGAUGCAGCGACGCCGCGUGGAGGAAGAAGGUCUUCGGAUUGUAAACUCCUGUUGUUGGGGAAAAAGAGGAUGGUACCCAACAAGGAAGUGACGGCUAACUACGUGCCACAGCCGCGGUAAUCUGAGCGGGCUGGCAAGGC
Molecule: ribosomal RNA, 197 nt
Filed under: uncultured bacterium
Lineage: Bacteria
Description: partial 16S ribosomal RNA
Rfam family: Bacterial small subunit ribosomal RNA
Source: RNAcentral